CCUACGGGAGACAGCAGUCGAGAAUCAUUCACAAUGGGGGAAACCCUGAUGGUGCGACGCCGCGUGGGGGAAUGAAGGUCUUCGGAUUGUAAACCCCUGUCAUGUGGGAGCAAAUUAAAAAGAUAGUACCACAAGAGGAAGAGACGGCUAACUCUGUGCCAGCAGCCGCGGUAAUACAGAGGUCUCAAGCGUUGUUCGGAAUCACUGGGCGUAAAGCGUGCGUAGGCUGUUUCGUAAGUCGUGUGUGAAAGGCGCGGGCUCAACCCGCGGACGGCACAUGAUACUGCGAGACUAGAGUAAGGGAGGGGGAACCGGAAUUCUCGGUGUAGCAGUGAAAUGCGUAGAUAUCGAGAGGAACACUCGUGGCGAAGGCGGGUUCCUGGACAUUAACUGACGCUGAGGCACGAAGGCCAGGGGAGCGAAAGGGAUUAGAUACCCGGGUAGUC
This 446-nucleotide ribosomal RNA is filed under the name uncultured bacterium. Its description in RNAcentral is "partial 16S ribosomal RNA". It matches the Rfam family "Bacterial small subunit ribosomal RNA", at positions 338 to 795 of the family's 1533-position model. The record is from RNAcentral.